CCUUCCCAAAAAAAACACACUUUUUCUAUCUCUCUAUACGCUCUUCUUCCUCUCUCUCUCUCACCCUUUCUCUGUACUUCCCUCCAUAUAAAUUUUGUCCUAUCUGCAAAAGCACUCAUAGCAAGACUUCACAAUUUUUGACCAACAAAGUUCCAAACCAAGUCCAAAGGUUCACCGAUCAGGUACUAAGUUUUUGCCCUUCUGAUUGAUUUGUCAUAAUUCCAAAAAUCCCCCUACAAAAUUCUCUAAGCAGAAACCAAUGGCUGUCUAAUUGGAUUUCAGUUUCAAGGUCAUCAAAGUUGUUGGUCAACAUACUGUACUCAUGGGUCUAUCUGUUGGGAACUAGAUUGCUUGAAGGGAUGAAACGAUAAGUGUUUUUCCUUGAAUCAUCUUUUUGGGUUGCUUUGAAUUAACUUAUUUUUUAGGUCUUCUGUUGGUGUUGCAUGACACAUGUUUGAUGAAAUUCCUUUUAAAUUUAAUAUGAGAUCUUUUCAUUCAACUUUUUCUUUUUUCCAUCCUCAUGUUGUGCUAUCUGAGUAGCUAUACCAUGGUUGUAAAAAAGUUAAAAUUUUAAUGGAAUCUAUUAAUUUGGUUAUAAUAGAAAACUUUCUUAUAAAAUUUUUUUAAAUCUAAAAUUUCAUGUUCUUUUGGUGUUACAUGAAUUAUGUUCGAUGAAUUAUGCAAUUUUUAUCUAUUCAAGAUAAUUACAUCAAACUUAGGCAUCUACAUCCCAUUGUGGAUUUCCAUAGCAGGUAUGUAAGCGAUUUUGCUGCUAACUUUGAGCUUUAAUAUUUUUGGACUUCAAUGGGGACUGCUAGAUGGAAUCUAACAUAAGUUUUCAUUUUUAAUGUUUUGAGGCAUGAGGAGUACUUUUAGAAUUGUGAUCAUGCACUUGAAUUUAUUGUCUAUAUGAAGAGGCAAUUUACCCAAUUCAAUUUCUUAAUGCUUUAGAAUUUAUGAAAAAGAAAAUCUUAAUGCUUUAAUACUUUUGCCUUUUGUUGGAUUCACAAAAUCCUAUUGAUCACAGGCGUUGAAUUUUUGUGUAUAAGGUUUUCGUUGUAAUCAAUUUCUUGGCUUAGUUGGUUUGCAGCAGUUUUGUUGCUUUUGGGAUUUAUGCAAAACCAAUCUUUUCUAUCCUGGUUUUCACAGCUUCCUUAAAAUAUGUAUUGUCAUUAUAUGUCAUUCUAUUUAUUUGUUUCUGCUGCAGUGGCAACAGAAUGGCGGGAGGUGAAUGUGGUGACAGAUUACAUUCUAAAG
Quercus robur (English oak) is the source of this 1257-nucleotide long non-coding RNA. RefSeq lists it as uncharacterized. The transcript is spliced from 3 exons. Lineage: Eukaryota; Viridiplantae; Streptophyta; Magnoliopsida; Fagales; Fagaceae. The record is from RefSeq and is a predicted model, not a curated record.